GAUGAACGCUGGCGGCGUGCCUAAUACAUGCAAGUCGAGCGAACGGACGAGAAGCUUGCUUCUCUGAUGUUAGCGGCGGACGGGUGAGUAACACGUGGAUAACCUACCUAUAAGACUGGGAUAACUUCGGGAAACCGGAGCUAAUACCGGAUCAUAUUUUGAACCGCAUGGUUCAAAAGUGAAAGACGGUCUUGCUGUCUCUUAUAGCUGGAUCCGCGCUGCAUUAGCUAGUUGGUAAGGUAACGGCUUACCAAGGCAACGAUGCAUAGCCGACCUGAGAGGGUGAUCGGCCACACUGGAACUGAGACACGGUCCAGACUCCUACGGGAGGCAGCAGUAGGGAAUCUUCCGCAAUGGGCGAAAGCCUGACGGAGCAACGCCGCGUGAGUGAUGAAGGUCUUCGGAUCGUAAAACUCUGUUAUUAGGGAAGAACAUAUGUGUAAGUAACUGUGCACAUCUUGACGGUACCUAAUCAGAAAGCCACGGCUAACUACGUG
This 497-nucleotide ribosomal RNA is filed under the name uncultured bacterium. RNAcentral's name for it is "partial 16S ribosomal RNA". It matches the Rfam family "Bacterial small subunit ribosomal RNA", at positions 28 to 507 of the family's 1533-position model. The record is from RNAcentral.